AAGUCGUAACAAGGUUUCCGUAGGUGAACCUGCGGAAGGAUCAUUAAUGAGUUCGGGGGCCUAGCUCCCAGCGGUGGGUGUUUGUCCGAGUCCGUCUGGGCUCGGCCAGCGCUCAUCGUGUAUCUCAACCCCAUGUUUACCUUACCUUUGUUGCUUUGGCGGGCCUUGAGUAGGCUAUACGGCUCAUGCCGGCCCCCAGCGUUUUUAGCUGGGGGACGGAUCGCGCCCGCCAGAGGUUUAUUCAAAUCCUGUUUAUUAGUGAAGUCUGAGUAAAUAUUAAAUAAUCAAAACUUUCAACAACGGAUCUCUUGGUUCUGGCAUCGAUGAAGAACGCAGCGAAAUGCGAUAAGUAAUGUGAAUUGCAGAAUUCAGUGAAUCAUCGAAUCUUUGAACGCACAUUGCGCCCCUCGGUAUUCCGGGGGGCAUGCCUGUUCGAGCGUCAUUACACCCCUCAAGCGUAGCUUGGUAUUGGACCUUCGCGGGCCCCUCUUCGGGGCUUGCGUGUCCGAAAAGCAGUGGCGGUCCCCGGGGAUUUCGCGCGUAGUAAAUAUUCUCCCGCGUUGGAAAGAACCGGUGGGCCUCGCCAAAACCCUCUAUAAAUCUCCAUGAUUGACCUCGGAUCAGGUAGGGAUACCCGCUGAACUUAA
RNAcentral lists this ribosomal RNA (647 nucleotides) under Cladonia uncialis. RNAcentral describes it as "eukaryotic LSU rRNA". The stretch from base 289 to 442 matches the Rfam family "5.8S ribosomal RNA". The record is from RNAcentral. Lineage: Eukaryota; Fungi; Ascomycota; Lecanoromycetes; Lecanorales; Cladoniaceae.